Molecule: long non-coding RNA, 1827 nt
Organism: Caretta caretta (loggerhead turtle)
Lineage: Eukaryota; Metazoa; Chordata; Testudines; Cheloniidae
Source: RefSeq, a predicted model, not a curated record
AUACGCGAAACGUAACUUUAGACAACUCCUCCCCUUACUUAUUUCUCGCUAAUUACGGAAAACCCGCCAUUCAACACCUUACAGAGGAAUUGGUGCAGUAACAGCCUGACCCAACAGGGACCAACACAACGCACGGGUGCGGGGGGCGCGCAGCCUCUGCACACUAAGAGCCUCUGGCGCUUUUCCAGCUCCCGGCAAUCGCUGUUUCUCCGGAGGCUCCAGACUCUACCCUCGAGGGACCAGUGUUUGAAACCAGCGGGUGUGGGGAAGCGACACGUGACGGCGCACACAUGUCCCGGAGCGCAGAAUUUGGCCCCCGGGUUACCCUCACAACCCCUGCCUCGCGCCGAGCAAGCGCCAGCUAAUCGGCGGGGUCUCUACGGCGACCCUGCUUUCCAGCAUGGCCGCUGAACUGUUUUCCUAGACUUUCACUGAGUUGCUAGCAACAGUUACCAAGCAACUUACAAACAUACCUUUCCAAGCUGUAUUGAAUGGUUUCUUGCACCACGAAACAUUAAAAGAACUUUCUUCCCAAGUUUGUUCUGGCCAACAUCUCUUAGUACCUCUGUGGGAUUUUGUAUACGUGUGCAACUUCCACUGUACUCAAGUUUUAGGACUUAUAUAUAUGGGGAAAAUUACCAGCAUACCUAUGCAGGUGUAAGUAUACUGGCAUUGCUAUGCUGGUAAAACUCCCCAUGCGGACAUUCUUAUCUCAUUGAAGUCAAUGAGAGUUUUUUCAAGUGAUUCAAUUGGGAAUUUAAUUUGAUCUUUAACAAGCAUGCCUCUGAGAGUAAGGGCUUGUCUACUCAGGGGAAAUUACCAGCAUAGCUAUACUGGUAAAACUUCCCAUGUGGACACUCUUAUCCCAGAAUAAGAGUGCUUUUUUCUGAUUUAACUUAUGGCACUUUCAAAGUGGUGAUGUUUGUUGAAGGUCAGAUUCUUUUCCCAGUUGAGUCACUUGACAAAACUCCCGUUGACUUCAGUGGGUGAAGAAUAGAACUGGCACUAGAUAUAAUAGAAUCCACAAAACUGAUGACCUGAUAAGUGACAUGACUGCCAUAGUAGGGUAUAUAUUAUGGAGCAGAUUCAGUGAUUCUGAACCAGAGAUCUGUUGGGAUGACACCUCAUGACCGUGGGACAAUUAAAUGACAAUGUCAAAUGUGGGAUAACAGCAGAUUUUGUGUGGGAUGGAGGAUAAUGUGUUAAAAGGGGAAUGCACUUUGUAGUGAGGGACAGUUAGGAGGUAUACGUGCAGGGACAUUAUUCUCAUAUGCUUCAGUCCUGUAUAAUUCAUACCUCAUCCCAGAAAGAGUACAGAUACCUAUCAAAUCUGAAAGCAAAUAUUCCAGCUAUACUCACUAAGACUGUUACAAACUGAGAUGCUUAAUCGUUUUAGAUCUUGAAAAUUUAAUUAAUAGGCAUUGAGUUUAAUUGCUUUUGGUGCCUCAGCUUCAUUUUCUUUGUGUAUAAUUACCUGCUGAACGUGUACAAUACUUUUUAUAGCUUUUUAAAAUAUUUCUAUUUAUAUUACUAUUGUGAUGACAGAAAGAUCAGCAGUGACACUUGCUGGGUAGGAAUUAGAUAUCUGAUUUUUGGUAGGUUUCCCAGACUUAUUGGGCAGAUAGAAAGAGAGAAGGUGUUGGGGUUCACUAAAAUUAUCGCCUUCCUUAAUAAGGAUAAGAGGCAAAGACACAUUCCUAAUAGCUUUCAUCCUCUCCCUGUAAUCCUUAUGGCAAAUUAACAUUUCACUAGCUGUCCAAUCCUGUACUUACACAGGCAAAACUCUUGUUGAAGUUAAUCGGAGGUUUGCCUGGAUGGGAAGUAGGC